UACGGAGGAUCCGAGCGUUAUCCGGAUUUAUUGGGUUUAAAGGGUGCGUAGGCGGACUGGUAAGUCAGCUGUGAAAGUUUACGGCUCAACUGUGAAAUUGCAGUUGAUACUGUUGGUCUUGAGUAUGAAUGAGGUGAGCGGAAUUUGUGGUGUAGCGGUGAAAUGCUUAGAUAUCACAAAGAACUCCAAUUGCGAAGGCAGCUGACUGGGGCAUAAUUGACGCUGAGGCACGAAGGUGUGGGUAUCAAACAGG
RNAcentral lists this ribosomal RNA (253 nucleotides) under uncultured bacterium. RNAcentral describes it as "partial 16S ribosomal RNA". It matches the Rfam family "Bacterial small subunit ribosomal RNA", at positions 524 to 776 of the family's 1533-position model. The record is from RNAcentral.